Long non-coding RNA from Macaca fascicularis (crab-eating macaque), 1607 nucleotides. NCBI's taxonomy places the organism in Eukaryota, Metazoa, Chordata, Mammalia, Primates, Cercopithecidae. The record is from Ensembl.
AGAAGAAAACCUCAAAUGUUUUAUAAUCUUACAGAGGAGAAGAUAUUCCUGAGAUGACACCAAAAUGCAGGAGCCGUAAAGGGAAAAAAACUAAUGACCAGUAACAAUUUUAGAUGCCUGGCUUAUAGAAAAAAAUACACACAAAGUCAAAGACCUAAUGACAGACAGAAAAAACAAACGCUUCUACUAGACAAAAGGUGAAUUUCCUUAAUCUGUAAAGUGCACCUAGAAACCACCACCAUCCACCCAACACAAAAAUGAGCCAAAAAGAUAAAAUACAAAUGGCUUUUAAAUAGUCAAACGUUUAUAAUAAAUAUAUUUUCCAAUCUCGAAAUAAUUAUCAGUGGUAACAAUCAUCAACGUAAAAUAGACGUGACAGGAGCAUUACGAUGUUUCAUUAUACUUACAGGAAAUACAACUAAAGCUACAGUGAAACACUAUCUCACGCCUACCAGGUCUACAAAAUCCAGCUUGGGCAAGGUGUCACUGGCCCCCUCUUACAUGCUGGUGGGGGAGGGCAAUUUGGUACCACCCCUUUAGGGGCCUAAAUAAAGCCCCUAGCACUUCUGCACCAAGGAAUUUAGCCUAAGAAAAUAGUCCGACUUGGGCAAAAAAGGAUUUGUACAAGGAAUAGUCAAGUUAGCAUUGUUCGUUAUAAAAGUAAAGACCCUAAAUUUCCACAGGAAAGGGGAUAAAUUCUGGAGCUAUAAAACUCCCUUUUCGUGUUAGUCCCACCUGUAUCUGAACGUAUGGGCGCCCCCUAAGCUACAUUAAGCAUAAGGACCCCAAGUAAAGAAACUGACCUUUUGCAGAAACGCAUGUACAUGUUCCUGCAUAGACUUUCUCUGUUGACACGUAAGAAACGGGUUUCUCUCUGCCCCAGGGGAGGAGAACUGGGCCUCGGAGGUUAGGACUGGGAAAAACACAUCAAGUCUUCACCAAACACCCUUUCAGGCUCCUUGAAUUUUCUACCCUGUGCACCUGAACACACUUUUGUUCUCUUGCAAGCAGUUGCUUUGCACUGGCGGCAACGAGGACACGGCUGAGUCCCAGCUCGCAGGGAGCUUAGGUUCUGACGGCGUCAGAAGACAACACGCUCUGGACGAGCGCAACGCCCAAGGGUCAGCGGCAGCAGCGAGCAGGGGGCACGGGAUGCGGGGAGGCUCUUCGGAAGGCAUGAAAGUCAGACGUGUUCCGAAACGUGAGCCGCGCUGGGGGGCGCGGCGCACGACCGGGGACAGAAGGAGGCCACUGCGGUCGCAAAGUCUAGGCCGUGCAAAGGCCCCGUGGGCAGCCAGGAGCCCAGGCAUUCCCUGCUCUAGCGAGGUUUCCUUCCGAACGUCCGGUCGCACCGCUUCCCAUGGAACGGCGGGCGCUGCCCCACAGCACCGACCCCGCGGCGGCCUCCACGCGCCCACGAGGAACUUUAGGCCGAGGGAAGGCGUGGGAGGGGCCGGAAACGGGCAGGGCCGAAGCGGACGGGUCCCUGGCUGGGUCCCAGCGGCCGCCACUUACCACCGAGACCGCCUCUUCGUCCACAGCCUGACGCCAACCACCGCCGCCAUCGCCACUUCCGCACGCGCGCCGCCACUUCCGCUUCCGUCAGU